This is a non-coding RNA of Arachis ipaensis, 130 nucleotides long. The record is from RefSeq and is a predicted model, not a curated record. NCBI's taxonomy places the organism in Eukaryota, Viridiplantae, Streptophyta, Magnoliopsida, Fabales, Fabaceae.
CUUUAAAUCGGAGCAAGCAACUGUACACACAUACUGGGGGCUCCAAAACCUUGGCAAGAAAAAAAGACGAAGUGGAGAGAGAGCAAGGAAGGCCCGUUGGUAGAGGAGAGUUGUUUAUCAUGACUCAUAA